GCGCUCCUCUUGCUCUUCAUUGUGGCGUGCCUCCGCGGUGCUUACUCCGGCGGCGGCUGGAGCCGCUUCACCUCCAUAAUCAGCUUUGGGGACUCCUACGCCGACACGGGUAACUUGGUCAUGUGGGCUGAUCCCGUCCUUCCGGGUCUACUACUCAAGAACCUCCCCUACGGCGAGACCUUCUUCGGCCACCCCACCGGGCGUGCCACCGACGGCCGCCUGGUGCUGGACUUCAUCGCCGAGGCUUUGGGUCUGCCUUCUAUGCCGCUGUACCUCGCCAGGGGAAGCAACUUCUCCGCCGGAGUGAACUUCGCCGUGGUAGGAGCGCCGGCUCUGAACUUGACGUACCUGCAGGGACUGAACUUGACAGUGAAUCCUCCUAUUAACAGCUCCCUCCACGACCAGCUCGUGUGGUUCCAGAAACUCAAGCCUUCGCUCUGCAAUGGCAGGUGA
Molecule: ribosomal RNA, 453 nt
Filed under: Triticum aestivum (bread wheat)
Lineage: Eukaryota; Viridiplantae; Streptophyta; Magnoliopsida; Poales; Poaceae
Description: partial small subunit ribosomal RNA
Source: RNAcentral